This 220-nucleotide long non-coding RNA is filed under the name Vigna radiata. RNAcentral's name for it is "long non-coding RNA (VRAD_LNC012877)". Lineage: Eukaryota; Viridiplantae; Streptophyta; Magnoliopsida; Fabales; Fabaceae. The record is from RNAcentral.
GGAGCACUCGACCUUCGACAUGUGCAUAACCUUGAUAGGUAGCUCUCGACCCUCGACAAAUAGUAAUCAACCUUUGCUAGGCAACUCUUAACCUUUGGUAGGUAGCUUUCGGCUCUUGAUAGGUGCAUAUGACCCUCUACAGAUAGCAUUUAAUCUUUGGUAGGUAGCAUUCGGUUAUCGACAUGCAACACUCAAGAUGUGUUUUGCACUAGUUAUCCUA